CUUGGCGACCAUAGCAUUGUGGACCCACCUGAUUCCAUGCCGAACUCAGAAGUGAAACACAAUAGCGC
This 68-nucleotide ribosomal RNA is filed under the name Vibrio splendidus. Lineage: Bacteria; Pseudomonadati; Pseudomonadota; Gammaproteobacteria; Vibrionales; Vibrionaceae. The record is from RNAcentral.